GAUGAACGCUGGCGGCGUGCCUAAUACAUGCAAGUCGAGCGAACGGACGAGAAGCUUGCUUCUCUGAUGUUGGCGGCGGACGGGUGAGUAACACGUGGAUAACCUACCUAUAAGACUGGGAUAACUUCGGGAAACCGGAGCUAAUACCGGAUAAUAUUUUGAACCGCAUGGUUCAAAAGUGAAAGACGGUCUUGCUGUCACUUAUAGAUGGAUCCGCGCUGCAUUAGCUAGUUGGUAAGGUAACGGCCUACCAAGGCAACGAUGCAUAGCCGACCUGAGAGGGUGAUCGGCCACACUGGAACUGAGACACGGUCCAGACUCCUACGGGAGGCAGCAGUAGGGAAUCUUCCGCAAUGGGCGAAAGCCUGACGGAGCAACGCCGCGUGAGUGAUGAAGGUCUUCGGAUCGUAAAACUCUGUUAUUAGGGAAGAACAUAUGUGUAAGUAACUGUGCACAUCUUGACGGUACCUAAUCAGAAAGCCACGGCUAACUACGUG
Molecule: ribosomal RNA, 497 nt
Filed under: uncultured bacterium
Lineage: Bacteria
Description: partial 16S ribosomal RNA
Rfam family: Bacterial small subunit ribosomal RNA
Source: RNAcentral